This 24-nucleotide non-coding RNA is filed under the name Arabidopsis thaliana (thale cress). The record is from RNAcentral. Lineage: Eukaryota; Viridiplantae; Streptophyta; Magnoliopsida; Brassicales; Brassicaceae.
UGCUACACAAAAUGCUUUAGCUUU